RNAcentral lists this ribosomal RNA (468 nucleotides) under uncultured bacterium. Its description in RNAcentral is "partial 16S ribosomal RNA". It matches the Rfam family "Bacterial small subunit ribosomal RNA", at positions 28 to 507 of the family's 1533-position model. The record is from RNAcentral.
GACGAACGCUGGCGGCGUGCUUAACACAUGCAAGUCGAACGGACAGGCCCUGCUUUUGUGUGGUGCUCGAGUGCCGCACGCGUGAGUAACACGCGUGUAACCUCUCCCUGUAUUUCGGAUAACUUCAGGAAACUCGGGCUCUUACCGGAUAGGAGCUCCUGCUGCAUGGUGGGCGAUGGAAAGUUUCGGCGGUUGGGGCUAGACUCGCAGCUUAUCAGCUUGUUGGUGGGGUAGUGGCUUACCAAGGCUUUGACGGAUAGCCGGCCUGAGCGGGUGACCGGCCACAUGGGGACUGAGAUACGGCGCAGACGCCUACGGUAGGCAGCAGUGGAGAAUAUGGCACAGUGGGCGGAAGCCUGAUGCAGCAACGCCGCGUGCGUGAUGACGUCCUUCGGGUUGUAAACCGCUUUCGCCGGUGACGAAGCGUGAGUGACGGUAAUGGGUAAAGAAGCACCGGCUAACUACGUG